AAAAAAGGGUCUGACGACUGCCCAAACCACACCGUGAACCACUUUUCUUAUUGAUGCUCUGGCAGGCCGCCCGCUGGGGGGGCUCAGGCCGCGGUUUCGCGGUAGGUCUGCCGGUGGCUCGCAAACCAAAACUCUUUUGAACGUCUCUCUGAGAAUAUCUAACUCCUCUUAGCGGGAGAAAAAAAAGUCA
RNAcentral lists this unclassified non-coding RNA (190 nucleotides) under soil metagenome. Its description in RNAcentral is "partial internal transcribed spacer 1". The record is from RNAcentral.